AAAUGGUGGCGCUGUUUAGAAAAAUUUGAAAACAACACGAUUGGCAAUUUAUUUGGAUUUCGAAGAUUCUGGUCCUGGCUGAAAUUUAGAGUACUGCAGCUGUAGCCUGUAUACCAUACAUUCGCUGUAGCCUGUACACCAUACAUUCGCUGUAGCCUGUAUACCAUACAUUCAACAUGAAAAGGACUGUCAGGAUGCUGCAUAAAAUGGUCUUAGCUAGAGCCUAGAAUGUUUAUUUCUUGGGAAUAUGCUGCAAGGAACUGACGGGGUGCAGUUUUUCUUACCAAUCAUAGAAGCAGUUAGAGACAGCCAAAGAAGUACUCAAACGCUUGACAUACCCAGAAAGAUCAAGAAGAAAAGAUUGGAACAGAUUGAAGCUGAAUUGAUAAAACUAUUAAAGUGAAUUUAAGCUGCACUUGAACUGUAUUUUUGAAAUAAAAUAUCUGAAGUAUUUAAUAUUGUCUUGAUAUUUUGUUAAACUUGGUUACUUUGCUUUAUAUCCAAAAAUUAAAGUAUGGUGGGUUUUCAACGUUGAAAUGACAUUGAAACUUCAACGUUGUGCCAACGUUGAAGCUGCAACGUUGUAUCAACGUUGAAAUUUCAACAUUGUUUCAACUUUCAAAUCCGAAUAUAAAUCCAACCUUAUUUCAACGUUGAAAUCUGACCAAAAUU
This is a long non-coding RNA of Ruditapes philippinarum (Manila clam), 672 nucleotides long. RefSeq lists it as uncharacterized. The record is from RefSeq and is a predicted model, not a curated record. The transcript is spliced from 4 exons. NCBI's taxonomy places the organism in Eukaryota, Metazoa, Mollusca, Bivalvia, Venerida, Veneridae.